RNAcentral lists this ribosomal RNA (489 nucleotides) under uncultured bacterium. Its description in RNAcentral is "bacterial SSU rRNA". It matches the Rfam family "Bacterial small subunit ribosomal RNA", at positions 28 to 478 of the family's 1533-position model. The record is from RNAcentral.
GACGAACGCUGGCGGCGUGCCUAAUACAUGCAAGUCGAACGCACUCUCGUUUAGAUUGAAGGAGCUUGCUCCUGAUUGAUAAACAUUUGAGUGAGUGGCGGACGGGUGAGUAACACGUGGGUAACCUGCCCUAAAGUGGGGGAUAACAUUUGGAAACAGAUGCUAAUACCGCAUAAAACCUAACACCGCAUGGUGUAGGUUGAAAGAUGGUUUCGGCUAUCACUUUAGGAUGGACCCGUGGUGCAUUAGUUAGUUGGUGAGGUAAAGGCUCACCAAGACCGUGAUGCAUAGCCGACCUGAGAGGGUAAUCGGCCACACUGGGACUGAGACACGGCCCAGACUCCUACGGGAGCAGCAGUAGGGAAUCUUCCACAAUGGACGAAAGUCUGAUGGAGCAACGCCGCGUGAGUGAAGAAGGUUUUCGGAUCGUAAAACUCUGUUGUUGGAGAAGAAUGUAUCUGAUAGUAACUGAUCAGGUAGUGACGGUAU